GGGAGCGGGUGUGGCCUGGUGGCUGCCACAGUCUUCAAAAUUGCUGUGCGUCGUUAAGAGCGGCGCAGGUGGGUUCGACUCCCAUGCGCUCCCGCCA
This 97-nucleotide transfer RNA is filed under the name Candidatus Chloroheliaceae bacterium. Its description in RNAcentral is "tRNA-Sec". It matches the Rfam family "Selenocysteine transfer RNA". The record is from RNAcentral. Lineage: Bacteria; Bacillati; Chloroflexota; Chloroflexia; Candidatus Chloroheliales; Candidatus Chloroheliaceae.